GUGAGGAAUUUUCCGCAAUGGGCGAAAGCCUGACGGAGCAAUGCCGCGUGAAGGAUGAAGGCCUAUGGGUCGUAAACUUCUUUUCUCAGAAAAGAAUUAUGACGGUAUCUGAGGAAUAAGCAUCGGCUAACUCUGUGCCAGCAGCCGCGGUAAGACAGAGGAUGCAAGCGUUAUCCGGAAUGAUUGGGCGUAAAGCGUCUGUAGGUUGUUUAAAAAGUAUUCUGUCAAAGAUUAGGGCUUAACCCUAGAUAGGCAGAAUAAACUUUUAAGCUAGAGUUUGGUAGAGGCAGAGGGAAUUCCCGGUGGAGCGGUGAAAUGCGUAGAUAUCGGGAGGAACACCAAAGGCGAAGGCACUCUGCUGGGCCAAUACUAACACUGAGAGACGAAAGCGAGGGGAGCAAAUGGGAUUAGAAACCCUGGUAGUCC
Molecule: ribosomal RNA, 426 nt
Filed under: uncultured bacterium
Lineage: Bacteria
Description: bacterial SSU rRNA
Rfam family: Bacterial small subunit ribosomal RNA
Source: RNAcentral